CGUAGGUGGCGAGCGUUGUCCGGAAGUUACUGGGUGUAAAGGGCGUGUAGGCGGGGAUAUAAGUCAGGUGUGAAAUUCCGUGGCUCAACCACGGACGUGCAUCUGAAACUAUAUCUCUUGAGUGCUGGAGAGGAAAGCGGAAUUCCUAGUGUAGCGGUGAAAUGCGUAGAUAUUAGGAGGAACACCAGUGGCGAAGGCGGCUUUCUGGACAGUAACUGACGCUGAGGCGCGAAAGCGUGGGGAGCAAACAGGAUUAGAUACCCUGGUAGUCCACGCUGUAAACGAUGGAUACUAGGUGUAGGAGGUAUCGACCCCUUCUGUGCCGCAGUUAACACAAUAAGUAUCCCACCUGGGGAGUACGGCCGCAAGGUUG
RNAcentral lists this ribosomal RNA (373 nucleotides) under uncultured organism. RNAcentral's name for it is "bacterial SSU rRNA". It matches the Rfam family "Bacterial small subunit ribosomal RNA", at positions 526 to 896 of the family's 1533-position model. The record is from RNAcentral.